AGUGAACGCUGGCGGUAGGCCUAACACAUGCAAGUCGAACGGCAGCACAGUAAGAGCUUGCUCUUACGGGUGGCGAGUGGCGGACGGGUGAGGAAUACAUCGGAAUCUACUUUUUCGUGGGGGAUAACGUAGGGAAACUUACGCUAAUACCGCAUACGACCUACGGGUGAAAGCAAGGGAUCUUCGGACCUUGCGCGAUUGAAUGAGCCGAUGUCGGAUUAGCUAGUUGGCGGGGUAAAGGCCCACCAAGGCGAGGAUCCGUAGCUGGUCUGAGAGGAUGAUCAGCCACACUGGAACUGGGACACGGUCCAGGCGCCUGCGGGAGGCAGCAGUGGGGAAUAUUGGACAAUGGGCGCAAGCCUGAUCCAACCAUACCGCGUGGGUGAAGGAGGCCUUCGGGUUGUAAAGCCCUUUUGUUGGGAAAGAAAAGCAGCAGGUUAAUACCCCGCUGUUCUGACGGUACCCAAAGAAUAAGCACCGGCUAACUUCGUG
Molecule: ribosomal RNA, 492 nt
Filed under: uncultured bacterium
Lineage: Bacteria
Description: partial 16S ribosomal RNA
Rfam family: Bacterial small subunit ribosomal RNA
Source: RNAcentral